This 601-nucleotide ribosomal RNA is filed under the name Acinetobacter sp. RNAcentral describes it as "bacterial SSU rRNA". It matches the Rfam family "Bacterial small subunit ribosomal RNA", at positions 66 to 659 of the family's 1533-position model. Lineage: Bacteria; Pseudomonadati; Pseudomonadota; Gammaproteobacteria; Moraxellales; Moraxellaceae. The record is from RNAcentral.
GCGGAGAGAAGUAGCUUGCUACUGAUCUUAGCGGCGGACGGGUGAGUAAUACUUAGGAAUCUGGCUAUUAGUGGGGGACAACAUUUCGAAAGGGAUGCUAAUACCGCAUACGUCCUACGGGAGAAAGCAGGGGAUCAUUAAUGACCUUGCGCUAAUAGAUGAGCCUAAGUCGGAUUAGCUAGUUGGUGGGGUAAAGGCCUACCAGGGCGACUAUCUGUAGCGGGUCUGAGAGGAUGAUCCGCCACACUGGGACUGACACACGGCCCACACUCCUACGGGAGGCAGCAGUGGGGAAUAUUGGACAGUGGGGGGAACCCUGAUCCACCCGUGCCGCGUGUGUGAAGAAGGCCUUAUGGUUGUAAAGCACUUUAAGCGAGGAGGAGGGUACUGGUAUUAAUACUACCAGGUACUGGACGUUACUCGCAAAAUAAGCACCGGCUAACUCUGUGCCAGCACCCGCGGUAAUACAGAGGGUGCGAGCGUUAAUCAUAUUUACUGGGCGUAAAGCGUGCGUACGCGGCUAAUUGACUCAGAUGUGAAAUCCCCGAGCUUAACUUGGGAAUUGCAUUCUAUACUGGUUAUCUAGAGUGUGGGAGAGGAU